RNAcentral lists this long non-coding RNA (1093 nucleotides) under Scophthalmus maximus (turbot). RNAcentral describes it as "lncRNA (ENSSMAG00000026895.1)". The record is from RNAcentral. Lineage: Eukaryota; Metazoa; Chordata; Actinopteri; Pleuronectiformes; Scophthalmidae.
CUUAAUCAGAAUAACACAGGGAUAUUUUUGUGUGUUUUUGUGAACACCAGGGACAAUGACCAUAGCAGGCAGUCCAGCGAACAAUCAUCCAUGUCCUCAACGAGUAGAUAUAUUUGAAUGUUGUCAAUAAUCCAGAGCCAAUAGGAAACAAAACAAGAAAAUGUGUUUAUUCAAAUUUAAGGUUCAAUGUGAGUUGGACAUUAAACUUUCAAUAUUUCAAUCCAGUGAACUGAUUAUCGCUCUUCAGUUGUAAGAUAUAAAAUAUUUUAAAAUGUGUCAUAAAUUUAAUACGUUUCUCUCUAUCUGUGUGUGUGUGUGUGUGUGUGUGUGUGUGUGUGUGUGAUCUCCAGCUAUAGUCCCUCUGCUAAAGGGCCACAAGAUGCACUUCCCCCUGGGAGAUAAAGGUCAUGGAGGAUUGAGGGAGCACGCUGCACCGCAGGCUGCGGUUGCGUCACCACCAGUAUUGAGUCAGUUGGACCUGGUUGUUUGGAUGACGGAGGAAGCCCAUGCGAGAGGGGUGGAGCACAUGCAAACUCCACGUCCAAGUGGACGCGUCGACAGGUUCAAAACCCGCUUUUUCUUCUUGCUGUGAGGCGACAAUGCUGUAUUUCUACAUAACUACGUAUUCAUAUUUACAAAGUAGUAGUAUUAAUGAAGACAUGAAGUGGGAUCACUUUGUCAGUGCUUUGACUGCUCUGAUGUAUCUCUUGUAGGUCGACCCAGUUGACCUUUGAUCAUGCUCAUCUCUGUUUGUCUCUUUCUGGGACGUUGUUCUGCUUUCUCAUCUUGCACAGCAGCUGGCAGAGACUGGUACAAGGCUGCCCAGGUGUAGUGGCAAUGGUGGGCCACAUCUGAGUGGGGUAAAAGACAGGAAGAGAAGGUAGGAUGCAUGCACUCCUGUAUUCAAAUACACAUGAGAAGAAAGCACAAUAGGUCAGGUGGGACUAAUCUUACUGCAGGUAUUCGCCGUCAAGCCUCAUGCAUUCCUUCUUCCAAAACCUCUUAAUGCACUCACCGGCCGAUUCCAUGGGAGUGGAUCAGACACUGUCAAUCACUGACCUAAAACAAACCUACAGAACACACGGGGUCAAGU